CUCCUUCAUUUGGCAGCUCCCCAACCCCACUCCCCGCCCAGGGCUUUUCCUUGGAAACCACAUACUAUCUGAUUUUCUCCAACUGAGCAGAAAUCCCUAGAUCCCAGGGGCAGAUGCCCUGGGGACAGAGUUCCGGACAAGUCAGGUCAGAACCAGAGAAAUGGAGUCCAGCGCUGUCUGAGUCAGGACACAUCUGAGUGUCCAGUUUACGUCCUGGUCCCAAAGACUCUCCUCCUGUCUGAUGCUAGUAGUGGACGCUCAGGAGUCCCUGCUUGGUUCCUUGGUCUCAAGGCUGGAGUUCAGGCUCCUUGGCCAUCACUGGGCUCAACUGAGGCCCAAGCUGCUGCUACCUCUCCAGGGACAGCCUCUCAGGCUCACAGGUGACUUCAGACCACUGGGGAGGGGGCUGCCCACCCUGAAAUCGCAGCCUCAGCGGGCACAUGGGAUCUGCGAGCGCCGCAUGUCACCACGCCGGUGUCCUGCUCCUGUCACUGCCCUUUCACACGCACGUGCAGGGUCUGCACAGCAGGCAGGCUGGGCUGUGGGCCCAAAGUUCACUGAGGUGCACAGUUUACAGUAUGUGGGAUUAUUCCUUCCAAUCCUCCCUUUUCCUUUAAGCCUUAAAUCUUCCUUAUCUUCAACUUCCAUGCCCACGAAAUUACAUGUUUUCCAUUGUACCAGAGGACUUUUGCUUAAUAGGCUCCAGAUCAAGCAGUGCGGAUCUUUGGCUGAUGGAAUCGGAUCUCAGUCACAGAUACUGAGAAAGGAACACAGUUAUCAGCAUGUUGUUUGCAGCAGACACUGUAGCAGCAGCUCUGAAAUGGACUUCAAAUCCUGUUUCAUUUCACACGCUGAGAACGAGGGCGGAUGCUCAGACUGUGGUCCAGGAGCCAGCACUGUCAGUGUCUCCAGCAGGGACGGUCACCCUGACCUGUGGACUGAGCUGUGGGUCAGUCACCACCAGUAAUGACCCCAACUGGCAAGAGCAGAACCCAGGCCAGGCUUCCCGACUGCUCAUCUACAGCACAAACAGCCACCCUUCUGGGGUCCCUGCUCGCUACUCUGGCUCCAUCUCUGGGAACAAGGCCGCCCUCACCACCACGAGGGCUCAGUCUGAAGACGAGAUUGUUACUCUGCUGCAUGUCAAGGCAGAGGGAGCAGCUAUCAUUCCCACUGUGGAUCAGAUGACGGGGAAGUGAGACAAAAACCCUGGGCCCACAGACCUU
This is a non-coding RNA of Dama dama (fallow deer), 1226 nucleotides long. The record is from the annotation of a RefSeq genome assembly. NCBI's taxonomy places the organism in Eukaryota, Metazoa, Chordata, Mammalia, Artiodactyla, Cervidae.